UAGGGAAUCUUCCGCAAUGGGCGAAAGCCUGACGGAGCAACGCCGCGUGAGUGAUGAAGGUCUUCGGAUCGUAAAACUCUGUUAUUAGGGAAGAACAAAUGUGUAAGUAACUAUGCACGUCUUGACGGUACCUAAUCAGAAAGCCACGGCUAACUACGUGCCAGCAGCCGCGGUAAUACGUAGGUGGCAAGCGUUAUCCGGAAUUAUUGGGCGUAAAGCGCGCGUAGGCGGUUUUCUAAGUCUGAUGUGAAAGCCCACGGCUCAACCGGGGAGGGUCAUUGGAAACUGGAAAACUGGAGUGCAGAAGAGGAAAGGGGAAUUCCAUGUGGAGGGGUGAAAUGCGCAGAGAUUUGGGGGAACACCAGGGGGGAGGGCGACUUUCUGGUCUGUAACUGACGCUGAUGUGCGAAAGCGUGGGGAUCAAACAGG
Molecule: ribosomal RNA, 429 nt
Filed under: Actinomycetes bacterium
Lineage: Bacteria; Bacillati; Actinomycetota; Actinomycetes
Description: Actinobacteria bacterium partial 16S ribosomal RNA
Rfam family: Bacterial small subunit ribosomal RNA
Source: RNAcentral